Molecule: ribosomal RNA, 427 nt
Filed under: uncultured bacterium
Lineage: Bacteria
Description: bacterial SSU rRNA
Rfam family: Bacterial small subunit ribosomal RNA
Source: RNAcentral
GGACCCGCACAAGCGGUGGAGCAUGUGGUUUAAUUCGAUGCAACGCGAAAAACCUUACCUACUCUUGACAUACUUGGGAGCUCUUGUAAUGAGAGUGUGCCUUUUGGAACCAAGAUACAGGUGCUGCAUGGCUGUCGUCAGCUCGUGUCGUGAGAUGUUCCGUUAAGUCGGAUAACGAGCGCAACCCUUACCCUUAUUUGCCAGCGAUUCGGUCGGGAACUAUAAGGGGACUGCCGGUGAUAAACCGGAGGAAGGUGAGGACGACGUCAAGUCAUCAUGGCCCUUACGAGUAGGGCUACACACGUGCUACAAUGGGGAAUACAGACGGACGCUAAGCCGCGAGGUGGUGCUAAUCCUAGAAAGUUUCUCGUAGUCCGGAUUGGAGUCUGCAACUCGACUUCGUGAAGUUGGAAUCGCUAGUAAUCGC